Molecule: ribosomal RNA, 250 nt
Filed under: uncultured bacterium
Lineage: Bacteria
Description: partial 16S ribosomal RNA
Rfam family: Bacterial small subunit ribosomal RNA
Source: RNAcentral
GACAGAGGGUGCAAACGUUGCUCGGAAUUACUGGGCGUAAAGCGCGUGUAGGCGGGUCGGCAAGUCAGAUGUGAAAUCCCUGGGCUCAACCUAGGAACUGCAUUUGAAACUGCCGGUCUCGAGUGAUGGAGAGGAGAGCGGAAUUCCUGGUGUAGAGGUGAAAUUCGUAGAUAUCAGGAGGAACACCGGUGGCGAAGGCGGCUCUCUGGACAUCUACUGACGCUGAGACGCGAAAGCGUGGGGAGCAAAC